RNAcentral lists this transfer RNA (65 nucleotides) under Mekongiella kingdoni. RNAcentral describes it as "tRNA-Gly". Lineage: Eukaryota; Metazoa; Arthropoda; Insecta; Orthoptera; Pyrgomorphidae. The record is from RNAcentral.
UUUUUUCUAGUAUAAUUAGUACAACUAACUUCCAAUUAGUAAGUUUUAAAAAUUCAAGAAAAAUA